RNAcentral lists this long non-coding RNA (277 nucleotides) under Ananas comosus (pineapple). RNAcentral describes it as "long non-coding RNA (ACOM_LNC003435)". Lineage: Eukaryota; Viridiplantae; Streptophyta; Magnoliopsida; Poales; Bromeliaceae. The record is from RNAcentral.
CUACUUAAACAACUCCUAGGAAGAACAAUGAAUGCGGGAAAGAGAAAAUUACAAGUAGACUACUCCUAAAAAAUGUAGGAAAUUGCGAGGAAAAUAAGGGCGGUAUUUUGUUCACAAGAAAAAGACCUCUUUUUAGGGCGUUAUUGGCCUAUUUAUAGAUCGCCCCUUGAUCAGUUAUUGCUUUUACACGAUCGGCCACUAUCUCCUAAUAUUUCGGACCACCUCCAGCCGAUCGGAACUGCUUGCAACUGCUUGCGGUUACUGUAACUUCCCUCAA